GACGAACGCUGGCGGCGUGCUUAACACAUGCAAGUCGAACGGAAAGGCCCUGCUUUUGUGGGGUGCUCGAGUGGCGAACGGGUGAGUAACACGUGAGUAACCUGCCCUUGACUUUGGGAUAACUUCAGGAAACUGGGGCUAAUACCGGAUAGGAGCUCCUGCUGCAUGGUGGGGGUUGGAAAGUUUCGGCGGUUGGGGAUGGACUCGCGGCUUAUCAGCUUGUUGGUGGGGUGGUGGCUUGCCAAGGCUUUGACGGGUAGCCGGCCUGAGAGGGUGACCGGCCACAUUGGGACUGAGAUACGGCCCAGACUCCUACGGGAGGCAGCAGUGGGGAAUAUUGCACAAUGGGCGGAAGCCUGAUGCAGCAACGCCGCGUGCGGGAUGAAGGCCUUCGGGUUGUAAACCGCUUUCGCCUGUGACGAAGCGUGAGUGACGGUAAUGGGUAAAGAAGCACCGGCUAACUACGUG
RNAcentral lists this ribosomal RNA (468 nucleotides) under uncultured bacterium. RNAcentral describes it as "partial 16S ribosomal RNA". It matches the Rfam family "Bacterial small subunit ribosomal RNA", at positions 28 to 507 of the family's 1533-position model. The record is from RNAcentral.